RNAcentral lists this small nucleolar RNA (107 nucleotides) under Nelumbo nucifera (sacred lotus). RNAcentral's name for it is "Plant small nucleolar RNA R71". It matches the Rfam family "Plant small nucleolar RNA R71". From Rfam's summary of the family: R71 is a member of the C/D box family of snoRNAs containing the C (UGAUGA) and D (CUGA) box motifs. Multiple nearly identical copies of this snoRNA have been identified in Arabidopsis, and it is thought to function as a 2'-O-ribose methylation guide for 18S ribosomal RNA. The record is from Rfam by way of RNAcentral. Lineage: Eukaryota; Viridiplantae; Streptophyta; Magnoliopsida; Proteales; Nelumbonaceae.
AUCCCAUGGUGAGGACACCUCCUAAGCAUCUCUUUAAAUAUUUCCCAUGCUUCAUAUAGGGACUCCCUCUCAAAUUGAGCAAAAGUAGUAAUAUCAUUAAUUAAUUU